ACCCACUUCAUUCAAUAUUUUAAGGGAGGGGAAUACAAAAGAAUACUCUUAAAAUUUUGAGAAUUCUUGGUUCCAUAGUUCAAAAAUUUUAAAAGUGUUUUUUGUGGUUUUUUCGAGUUGAGGAGGUGGAGUCGUCUCCUUCAAACUCAUAGUUUCGGUUCGCUGCCCAGAACCAGGGCGAUUAUGUGGGUUCGCAUCGUUCGUUAACUAAGCUUUUCUCGGGGCACCCUGACGAAUGUAGUUGACUACUGGAUAAUCAACAGUCGUUAACUGUCUCAACCUAAGUAGUCCGCUUGGGUCACCUAUCCACAAUAUACAAACCCCGCUUUUAAUUAUCUUGUAUAGAGGGAAGCCAAAACCUCAUAUUAAGCAUGACACAAUUGUUUGUAUGUUAUGUGAUAUACUUAUUGUACGUAAAUAUGUUGUAUAAUAGUUCAUUAUUUUAAAA
Solanum lycopersicum (tomato) is the source of this 448-nucleotide non-coding RNA. The record is from RefSeq and is a predicted model, not a curated record. Lineage: Eukaryota; Viridiplantae; Streptophyta; Magnoliopsida; Solanales; Solanaceae.